CAGCCGCCCGGUAAUACGUAGGGUGCGAGCGUUAAUCGGAUUUACUGGGCGUAAAGCGUGCGCAGGCGGCCCGUUAAGACAGGUGUGAAAUCCCUGGGCUCAACCUAGGAAUUGCGCUUGUGACUGGCGGGCUCGAGUACGGUAGAGGGGGGUGGAAUUCCUGGUGUAGCAGUGAAAUGCGUAGAGAUCAGGAGGAACACCGAUGGCGAAGGCAGCCCCCUGGGCCUGUACUGACGCUCAUGCACGAAAGCGUGGGGAGCAAACAGGAUUAGAUACCCUGGUAGUCCACGCCCUAAACGAUGGGUACUAGCCGUUUGGUGCGCGAUAGCGCUGAGUGGCGAAGCUAACGCGUGAAGUACCCCGCCUGGGGAGUACGGCCGCAAGGUUGAAACUUAAAGGAAUUGGCGGG
RNAcentral lists this ribosomal RNA (409 nucleotides) under uncultured microorganism. RNAcentral's name for it is "bacterial SSU rRNA". It matches the Rfam family "Bacterial small subunit ribosomal RNA", at positions 512 to 917 of the family's 1533-position model. The record is from RNAcentral.